UUAUUAUUUCCUUAUAAAUUAGAACAAAAUCAGCCUAUUUCUCAUUCAUGUGGCCGGCCAAAGAAGAACAAAGGAAGAAAAGAAAGAACAAGAACCCUAGGGUGAAAAUUCAAGAGAAAAAUUGGUGGAUUUCAAGUAAUUAAGCAAUCAAAGGUAAAAUUUCUUGAUUUUGACUUGUUCCAAUGCAUUAUUUUGCAUUUUUCAUAGUUGAAUCACAAGAUAUCAUGAAGGAUUCAUGGUUGACCGAAUUUAGAGAGAGAAGAUUUGAUGGUUGUUUUGGUUAGAUUUUAAGAUAUUCUAGUGUUUUUAGUUAGUGAUGUGUAGCAUGAAAAUCAAACAAGAAAAAUUCAUUUUCUCCCAUAACCCAUCAUUGGCCGAAUUCUCUAUGUAGAAUAUUGAUGAUGAUUUUGAUUUUAUUUCAAGUGAUUUGGUUAAGAAUUAGUGAUUUGUGGUGUGAGAAUCAAGUAGGAAAAAUCAUGGUGUUGAUGCACUCAAAAUGGUUGAAUUUUUCAAGAGAAAAUGUGAGGAUGAUUAUGCCACAUUUCAAGUUAUUUAAAUUGUAUUUAAUGAUUUGGAGUAUUGGGAGAAAAAUGGAGUUAAUUGGAGUUGAAUUUGACAUAUUGGUCAAUUAAUCGAGUGAUAGAUCGAAUUAGGCCAAUACCGAUUUAAUUAGGGACCCAAAUGAAUUUGUGUAGAAUACCGUGUUUAGACGGUAAUCCGAACAAUUUGCAUCCCAUUUCAUACAUUAGUAUAAAGCCUAAAUUGGUUUUCUAACAAUUUAGAACAAUAUAGUAAAUGGCUUAUUGUGCAUUAUGUUUAGGUGGUGAGCAUUCUGGCAAAAGUAAAGAGAUAGUACUCGAGGAAUCAAGAAUCGGAGUACUUGGAAUUCAACUCCCGAAAUAGUGAGUAACCUUACUAUCGUCUUAAUUAUCUAGAGUGGUUUUUAUCCAAUUUUGUGAAUUUCAUGAAAAAUGAAUUAAAUGAUUAAUUUUUUGAUUUUAUAAACAAAAUAUGAUUUAAUAAAAUGAUUUUAAUAAAUUGUCUUGAAAUUGAAUGAUGGUUUGAAAAUAGAGCAAUUAGAGACUAUUUUUGCGUGUUGUAAAUUCAUGAUUCUAAUUGAUUGGCUUAUGACAAUAUUGGCAUGAAUGGCUGAAUUGGUAUUUGUGUUGAAAUGUAUAAACUGUUGUUUGCCUUGAUAGGCUGGAUAAUGAUAAAAUUGCCAUGUCAUGCUGUUGAAUUUUAUUGUAUGGUAGGUUUAGCUUGCUGCAGUGGGCUGGUUCUGUGGACUAGCCUAUUAGAGGGGCACGGAACCUGGUCAUAUUAUUACCUCGGUUGGAGAGGCGAGUAAGGUAACUCCUGAGGUAUAACUUUAGAGUUCACUUCACGCCAAACCACCUUGUGAUGAUGAACUCCGCUAACGCCAAGGAACGACUGUGUUUUUAAAAUAAAAACAUGAUUUAUGCGUACAUAACUUUUUAACAGCCUUGGCGGACUCGGUUAGGAUAGCCCUCGAUCAAGGCAUCCCUAAUAACUGGGUAUAAAAAUGAUUUUUGACACGAGCCAAAGUUUUAAGAAAUUCAUAAGUCAUGUUGAUUACUCGAUUUAUAUAAAUUGAUUUUAUUUGAUUGAAACAAGUUGAAAGGUGAUGAAUUACAGUAUGUUAAAUUAUUUUAUCUAUCUCCAUUUACUCAGCUUUAGAUAUUUUAGAUGGUAUCUGUUUACUCACAAGGAUUAUAUAAUCUCACCACCCUCCUUUCCACCUAUAUCAGGCUCAGGAUAGUCGGUAGAUUGCUCAUUUCGUUGAGCGCUACAGUUGGACUUACAUCCUCAAAAAUAGUAGGUUUACCUCUUUUGAUACUUUUGGUCAUUCGUGGGCCCACGUGUCACUGUAAAUUAAAUUUUAUACUUUGGUUAUCUGUAUUACAAUAUGUAUGAAUUUAUUUAGCUUUUACGCUACAAAAAUUAUUUACAUGUAACUCUAUAAAUAUUGUUUUAGAAGAAAAUAGAAUAUUUUAUUAAAUAUUUUUAUUAUAUCCAAAUAAUCAUAAUUUCAUUUUAAAUGAAGGUUUUAGAUGUUUAAACUUAUUUUUGAUUAUGAAUUAUGAGUUUUAUACUCGCAUACUAAAUUUUUAGUGGAUUUCAAGAUUUUUGAGGAAAAAUGACCAAAAUGCCCUUGUGAGAAAAAAAUUGUUUUUCUAUUGUUUUAAUUUGGAAAAUGUUAUAAUCUCUCAAAACAUAAUUUUAGUGACUAAUAUUCAUAGGGGAAGCGAGAAAAACUGAUGUUAAGCCUUGCGAGGUUUCGAUUGACAUUCUGGGUAAUGAAUGUCUAUCGGGACGUCGCGACGGUUGUCACGGAUUCGAUGAGAGUUCCGGGUCGUGACAUAAUUAGAUUAAGCACAUAAAAAGUAUAUUGACUAUAUCAUACAAUAAAUUCCCGUAUCAUAAGAUACGUGUCGCGUAUCGUACGAUACGUUUUUGAUACUUGAUCAAAUGCGAUACAACUAUAGAUACAUAUCGUUUUCUACUAGUAUUGUUUCGUAUUGUACGAUACAUUAUUGCAUAUCAUGCAAUAAUGAUAACUAUGUCGGUGCAUCUUUUGUAUACAAAAUCAAGUUCACAUGUAACUUUCCUUUUUUUAAAAAGAAAAUCUUUACUAUUUUUUAAACUUCCUAAGGUUUAUUCUAUUUUUUAAAAAAAGGAAUUAUUAGUUAGAUUUUGACUUUUAUUUUAUUUCCCCCUCCCUAAUGUACUUAAUUCUUUCGAUUAUUAAUAAAAUGUUUAUAGGGUAGUUGGCCCUACACGAAUUUCCAACAUAAAAAAAAAGAUUUUGACUUUUAUUUAAUCAUUCAUAUGCAAUAUUGAAUAUUAUUUUUUUGCUUAAUAAAAUAAAUUCAUAUUUUUACACAAUUAUGUUACUAUUUACAUUUCAAUUACAUUAGUAUUUCUUUGAAUCUAGCUUACUUUUUUAAUGAUAAUUUUAAUUAAAAAAGUUUUUUUUACUAUUUUGACUAUUAAUUAAUUAUAAUAAAGUGUAAGUUGUCUUUAUCAACUCCCAAAGAGAUAUUACUAACUUCACCUUAGAAUGAAGAGGUUGAUGUAGAUUUUUCUACAAAAAACAAAAUCCAUAAAAAUUUAGAUUUAUUUCACAUUGAUUUUGAAUCAAAGAAAAACCGUGUCAUUUUGGAUUUUGAUUUGUUAACCUUGAAUUCAUUAUUGUUUUGAAAUUGUAAAAUUUUAAUUUUGUUUCUCAAACUGAAUUUAUAUAAAAUUUAUGUAUAUCUAAUUACCCAAUGUAGGAGAAAGCCCAAUUUUAUCAAAAUUUUAUAAAUGAAACUCUAUUCAACGCACACGUAAUCCUUACUCAUAUCCAUUAUGAAAGCUAAGAGACCAUUUUUGUCCCUUCUCCAAUGACCAAUAGAUGCAUUAACUCAUAUGCAAGAAAAUAGUCAUAAUUAAUAGGCCUUUGGGAAAAAAACAAUUUUCAAGGGAGAAAUGAUUUUUGACAAAACAAGUCUCAUUCUAUUGGCUAAUAUCUUUGUGAUUAUCUUAUACAAAACAUUACAAAGACUAAUUGGUUUUCAUUCAACUAUCAUUCUAGGCUUAAAUUUAUUAGAGAUCAGCACAAAAAAAGUACCAUUAAUCUCCAAUAGUAAAAAAUUAGGGUGAAACACGUUAAAUUUGUCACUUGGACAAUUAACUUGGUAAGAUUAAGAAAUACUUUUUUUGACUUAAAACCUCAAUUUCAUCCUUGAAAAUUCAUAAAUAAAAGUCUUGAAGGUUGUGCGAGAGAUUUAGAAUGAGAUUAGGCCUUAAAAGAAACAAUUUUCACAAGUUUGGAUUUUAUAAGUUGAUCCUAGUGCAUAAAAGGUCGAUCAUGUGAAGUAAAAAGUAGGGGGAGUCAAGGUUUCAGGCCAAGGAUCGACUAUAGGCCCUCUAUAGUAAAUCCAAGGAAAGAAAAAUGGGGAAAAUGCCAACCUACUGGUCCAAGAUCUACUAUAGACCCUCUAUAGUAGAUCUUGUAAAGGAAAAUCGAGUAAAAAAUGGACAUUCUAUCAAACCUACUUGUUUAGGAUCGAUAUAAACUCUCCAUAGUCAAUCCUAGGCUGCCCAAUCAGCUUAAAAUGAGUUUAAAAGCCCUAGAACCGAAACUUACUUCAUUUUUCACCUAUUCCUUUGUUCUCCAACCCAUUUUCUCUCAAAUUUCCUACCUUCCAAAACCUUCGAACUCCAUCAACAAAUCUUGGAUUCUAAUUGCUAAAUGUUGGGAUGAGCCCUACAGCUAAUUAGGAUUGGUUAAGGCUUGAUUCCAAUCAUGCAACAGUAUCAUUCAUGUUGAAUGAUUAGAGGUUUUUCUUCAUCAAUAAGACAUCAAUUAUAAUGAGUUAUAAGUCUAAUUGGAUGAAGACCAUGAGAUUAAUAUGCCUUGUAAGGGAACUGUAAUGGGUUGCACUUAUGAGAUCCCUAUGCAUCAAAGCAUAAUUUCAAAAUAUUUUUGGUCAAUGUACGAUUGAGACUGGGCAUUAAUGAUUCUUAAAGAGUGGUAUAUUUUAUGUUCCUUACUUUGGAAGUAAGCAAUCAAUCUCAUAGAUUGAAGUAUAGAGAUACUUGGAACUAGAAUAUAGGUGCUUGCCUAGGAGAGCAGGUUCACUGAACAUGACCCGCCAUGAAAAGUGCAUUUUGUAAUACACUUUAGUGUUUAUGCAACACUUCUCAUGUGUCAGCUGUGUAAAUACUCCCUAGACUUGAGACACUAAGUUAUCUUAUGUGAGGAGUGCUAUGCUUUGAUUUCAUCUCUACGAGUGCCUAACCAAGGAUGCCAAAAUAAGAUGCUUUUGGGUAUAGUAUGAAGCAUGUGAAGGCAAAUGAGUGGUCAAGAUAGGAAUCAACACCUCAAGUGUUUUAGAGGACAUAUCUUAUUAGUUCUUGGUUAACAUUAACUUAUUCAAGUCACUAGUCAAGGCGACAUGGAGAUUAUGAAAAAAGGUUUCAUAACUCUCUAUAAAGCUAAUGCUAUAACUACAAGAACGAAUAUGAAGGUCAAUAAGAGUAGACACUGUACCAAGCUUUUAUUAUCUCUGGGAUAUAUGAUGAGGGAAUGAAUUAUAUUGAUAGAUUAUACACUGAAAGGUUGUCAAAGAACCCUUUGACUCUCUUAACAAUUGGAUGGCCAUGAUGCAUUGCUAAAUGCCAAUCUUGGUCUAUGGAAUUGAUUCUAAAUUAAUUGAUUGAAAUUUAUAUUAAUCAAUUAAGUUAUUAAUUAAUUCUAUUGCCAACAUGUUAGGAACCUAAUGGUUCACACACAAUGAUUGCAUUUGAAUUAAAUUGGGAGAGUGAUGAUUUAAGUUAGACUUAAAUCACAUGCUAGGUAAUUAACUUCUAUAAACUUAAUUAACAGAGUUUAAUUAAGUUUUAGGCAUAAUUAUAAAUAGUUAUAAUUAUAAGACCUUGAUUGCAAAAUAUAAAGGAAAUUAAUUUUGAUUUUAAUUUUCAAGGACUUAAUUAAAAGAGUUUAAUUAGGUAAUGGGCCCAAUAUUAUAAUGUGUUAUAAUAUUGAGGGCUUAAUUGCAAAACUGAAGUUAUUUUAACCUAACUAUAUAUGUUACCUUUUAACUAUUUUCCAUAUGAUAGUUUUUCACAAUUGAAGAAAACUUAGUUUUUGUCAGAAAAAGAAAAGUGUUUUCUCUCUUUGCCACCAUCCCUUUGUGUGAAAAAGAAAAUUACUUAUGACGCAAUUUUCAAGAGAGGUUUGGCUAAGAUUGUGAAAAGAAAGAAAAGAACAAUUGUUGUCCUCUUUGCUAGCACAAAGUAUAGUUAAAAACUCCCUCCUUUGUUGAAGGUUCAAGUGCAAUCAUGUGUACUACUAUUGAAGGCCAAGCAUUUGAUUGGCUAGGGUUUUUGCUCUUCGUGGUGUUCGCGAGAUUGCUUUGGAAGUGCCAUUGCGAUUAUGAAAUUACUUGGCAAGGUAACUUUUUGAAUAAUAAUUUAUUUUGAGCUUUUAUGUGUUAAAUAUCACCAAGGCGAUCCAUGGGUGGAGGUAUGUUUUGAUUGUUUAGUUAUAAAGUUUUAAUUUUCUUUCCGCUGUGUAUUUUAAGCAUGCCAUCUAUAGCCAAACCCAUUACUAAAGGUAAGGAUUUUCACUCCCAAAAGCUUGCCUGUUAUGGAUUUUGUUUCUCUCUCUAAAAGCUAGAAAUUUUUCUAAGUUUUCAAGAUUUGGCUAGAUCUCUCCACUAAAAGCUCACCAAGGAGGAAAAAUAGGUAAAAUAAGUUGUUACUUAAUGGAUAUGAGGUUUGGAUGAAAGUUUGGUGGAAAUAAUUGGAAAUAAAUGAAGAUUAAAUGGUUAGAAGUGGGUAUUUGAAGUAUUUCAAAAUUAUUAGGUUUUUUUAAGAAUAUUGAUGAUUAAAUUUCAUUUUUUUGGGACCUUGAGAGUAUUGAUGAUUGAAUAUCAUUUUUAGGUGUUAUUGGAGUAAUUUGAGCUUGCUGUAGAAGCCAAGCUUUCGAUGAAAGGUGCUAAAUGGAAAAAGCACGCUUCAAGAGGGGGUAGAUAUGGCAUUUUUAAUUAUUUUAGUAUAAGUAAGCAUGCCUACUCUACAACCUCGCAUGAAAACGUAUUUUGGUGAAGUUUGUGAUGUGAAAAAUGAUUUCAAGCUUGUUUUAAGAAAGCUAGAUAAAAUAUGUAAAUAAGUUAUCAUGUAUUUAGUUUUGAGCAUGGGGAACAAGCCUUCCAAGUGUUUGAUACCUUUAAGAAAACCCAUGUUUGUUUGUGACUAGUUAAUGAUCAAGAAUAUACUUGCUUGAGAUGAACCUUGUUCACUUGCAUUUAUUUUAUUUGAAUCUUUGUCCUUAGAUGGCAAGUGGAUUUAUUUAUUCAUUUGUAAAUGAAUGUUUAGAUAUUUGGAAUCAUA
Molecule: long non-coding RNA, 6903 nt
Filed under: Theobroma cacao (cacao)
Lineage: Eukaryota; Viridiplantae; Streptophyta; Magnoliopsida; Malvales; Malvaceae
Description: long non-coding RNA (TCAC_LNC005890)
Source: RNAcentral